AGCUGAGGCUGGAGGUUCCUGAAGAAGCCAUCAUGCUAUUUUCAUCCAAAAUGUCAGCACUGCAGAAGAGCAAUGGCAGCACUUCAGCACUGCAGUGACGUUUUGUACCCUCUGGCACACAAGGCUGCUAAGAUUUUGGGUUGAGGUUGUUUGACAAUAAGAGCAUCAUUUGAGGAAUGAACACCAAUCAAGUGCAACACUUAAGAUUUAUCAGAGCCGUGUAAGGGGAGCACAGCCAUGGGAAGCAGAGGACAUACUCACUUCCUCUCAUGGAGGAUUUCAUUUUCUUCUUUGCUGAGAAGACUAGUCUCCUUUGCCCUGAAGUAUUAACAAAUAUACCAGCUUCCAAUGAAGACAGGCUGCCCUAUAUCUAUCAAUAGAAUCUAUAUAGAAUCUUUUCCCUUAGGGAUUAAUUCAACUUUUGAUUCAAUCUUUCUGAGCUUUAAAUUAUGAUGUUACAAACCUCCAAGGAACUGCUGUACUAUUUGUGACCUUCUUUAUUACUUUCUGCUGUUUGAUAAAGUAGAGAAAAUUGAUUUAUAGAUUAGUUUGCUUGUGAACAUUGAAUAUCAAUGGUGAGAACGUGAUUCGCAGAAAAGCAGGAGAAGGUGGCAUUGGUUAAAGUUUAAUAUAGCAAUAUUAAUUAAUGGUGAAGGACAACAGAAUAACUGCACAUUAAUCUUCAAAGAGAUCCUGGAAGUGCAAUGUGAAAUAAUAGUGAUGAAUCAAGGCAUCUUGCAAGAGCUGAAUUUAAAGUUUUCAAAAUAUUUUCCUCAAAGAAUAAUUUUGUCCAUUGCUUCCACUUCUCUCCCCUAAACUUCUCUCUCUUCUCCUUAAGACCUGAUAGUCGUUUUUGUGUUUUCUGUAAGCAUUAAAGGUUAAAGGUGGUAGGAGAGGCAGUUUUCCAAAUGGAGCCUAAAAUUAGGUGUUGGUUUCUGUAUUUGGAAUAUUAGGCCCCAAUCCAAGAGUCUAUUUUUAUUCAAAGCAGCCGAGCACUUGACUUCAAUGGAUCUAAAAACACUCAUGCUUAAGUGCUUUGCUGAAUCAGGACAGACUUAAGCACAAAUGUAAACGCUGUGCUGAAUUGGGGCUCUAUAUAUGUGGCUUGAUUUUUAAAAGUGCUGAGAGACAGCAGGUCUAAUUGAAGUCGAUGGGAGCUGCGAGAUGCUCAGCGAUUCUGAAAAUCAGGCCACUCAUUGAGGUGCCUGAAUCUGAUUUCAGGUGCUCAGCUUGCAAUAUUCACUAUGGGGAAAAAUGGUGACCCAGGCAAUGGAAAGCCCUGAUUUUACGCAAUAAACCUUAAUAAUGUAAAAACAGGAGAUGGGAGGCAAUAUUUUCCUGGAAAUUUAAUGUGCUGUGCUUUUUUUGGCAAGCAUCAAAAGUGCUAUGCAAAAAUAUGAAAUGAAUAAACAAAUGAAAUUAGAAAGCCUAGUAACUGGAGAAAUAUUGGGCUAAAUUCAUUCCUUGAGGAACAGCAGCAAGACUGAUGAAAUACAACAGGAAUGAUUUGGCCUAUUACGUUUUGAGCAUUAAUUUGAUCAGAGUCAACAACACAAACCCACAGAGUGAGGAACUUCACUCUACCACCCUUGCAAGAGCCAAGCAGAACAGUUUGGAUUAGCAAAUGGUAAAAAUGCAAAAGCUAAACAUUUUUGCAAGUUACGGAGCAUAAAUUAAACAGCAAUGUUAGGAAGAGAGAUGAGGUGGAGGCUGGUUGUUUUGAGAAAAGCAAUUUUUUCGAGUGAAUUCAGUAGUCCUCUCCUUAAAGAGCACAGCCAGGCUGUCCAGCAGCUGCCCUGUGCUGCUCCUCACGUGGCAGCUGGGUCCCUGCCGAGGCGACAUUCGACGAGAAGACUCAGCCACAUGGUGCUGUGCUGUGAGCCCCCAGAGAAGGCUGUUGCCACAGCAGAACAAGCCUGCAGCCAUGAAAUACCUACCUGUGAAUGAACCCUGGGCAAACCAAACAAAAGCCAUUCUUCCCCUAUUUCUGUGCAUGUAAAGGAGAGGGGUGUGAAUAGGCCCCAUCUCUGGGCCUACCUGUUGCCUGCCCAGUGGCAAUGCUGCCAUGGAAGCCCAUGUGCUGCACACUCUAUCAUCCUCAGAGUCAGGAAAGCCACACUCGUCCAGCCACCUACCUACCUGUCCGGUCCUCCUGAUCUGUCUGCUGAAACAGGGCUGGUGAAGAACUCUCAUGAGAGGCUUACUCCCAGAACAGGUGUUUAUCAUCUCUGGAUGGAAGAUGCCAACCAUUCUGCACUUCUCAGUCCCUACUACCUGCACGGGGAUCUAGUGUGGCCACAUAGAAAAGUCCUUACAUUCCCCACCCCCUUCUAACUCAAACCACAACUCUUAAACUCCACUGAGAAUGUUCUGAAAGUUUUCUGACAUGGUUUAUGGCACAGCUCGUCAAUGGACUUGGGUAGUCAUGGCAGAAAGGUACCACUUUCUACCAUUAAAUAUAUCAAAACUGGUGAUGCUGUGCCCUGUACAAAGUGCAGUAGUGCAGGCAUGCUCUGGCCAAUAAUCUGAAAUAAAUUACAACCAUUGGAAAGAAUAACAGAAAACCCACUACACAACCAAUUGUGGGGGGAAAAAAAACCUGUAAUAAGAAUGAGAAACAGAAAUGGAUUUGAAACAUUCGUUUCCCUUUAUUUUCUCAGUGAGGCUGAUGUGUACUGCACAUUAAAAAAAAAGAAAAAAAUCACAGGAAUUUUCAUACAAUGAAUUAAACCACAAAAGUACAUGUAGAAUCGGCAGGUGGAAAAUAGCCCAGCUUGGGCUUAACUACUAUCUCACUUCCCCUGUUCAGCAUAGUCCAACCUACAACUUUACAUGUUCACCUACUGUACAAAUCUUACAGUAGCUGCAUCAGGUCAGUGGUUCACAUUAUUGAAAAUGUCUGUCACAAAGGUACAAAUUUAGAAUCAUCACAUUAUAUUACAUGGCUAUUCUAGUUCAUUUAUAGAUCAGAUCUUAUACUAUAGUGAUUGAAGUUCUCAUUACAGCCAUUAAGAAGGACACAUAAUCAUUACCUACUGUAGGCUUAUAUCUAAAGGGAUGAGAAGGAGGUGUGGUUGUGUUUGUUGUUUUUUUUUUUCAACUGACCCAAGUAUUAUUACCCCAGAGGCACAAACUUUCCUCUCAGUGCUGCUAUUUGUGAUGGCAGCCCAACUGCUUUUCAGAGUACUUUAGCACAGAUAUUUUUCUUCAACUUUAGGCUCCCUCUGUUUGGAUUAGUAUUUAGAUAAUUUUCCAUUCUGUAGGAAUUACUCAGUUACAGCUCUAGGAAAGACCACAGUUCCUAAGUACCAGUUCUGUUACCUGUAUUGUGGAUGUGGUACUUACCACAGCAUGAAAGCAACAGUAUGGUCUUCUUAUAAAAAACACACAGAGCUAUACUGCAAUUUGCCACUGGUGACAAUGUGGUACAUGUGCUAAUUUGAAAUGUUCUUGGGGAAGAAAACAAGAAAAGUAAACACUGAGUUUAUAUUUUGAUGGAUUUCCUACUACAGUGUCUAUGAAAGAUCCAAAUAGCUUUAUUCAGCAAUCUAUUAAUUUCAUAUGUAAUUUGUAAAUCCACAGAGGAAAGUCAUCUUCAAGAUGAAAAUGUUUGCCAGGCCAGUGAAAAAAAAAAAAAAAUUGACUCACUUCAUUAUGCCUGCUUGGUGAAAAAUAAAUAAUGCCCCACAAAAACCCCACACCAAUUUCUUAAUGUCAGCAAUCUAGGGCAAAAGAGAACAUUUUAAAAUUUAAUGACAGAAAUGUAAAGGCAAAAUAGAUAAUGCAUCUGGUCCUUGAACACAUAAUAUGAUAUACUAAAUAUUGAUUUCUUAAAAAUAAUUUAUUGCUUUUAAUAUUUUUCUUUACAACAGAAGAUACUCAAAAUCCAGAAAGGAAAACUGUAAACUUUUAGUUUGGCAUUCACACAAAGUUAAAAUACCUGCAUUUUUAACCUACAGAGCAACAACAAGAAUUAUGCAGAGUAAAGGAUGUUACAUUUGUAACACAGAACUUCCAGAAAAGUUCUUUUCUUUUUUUUAUUUUUUUGUUUUAUUGCUAUCUAUCUACUGAGAAAUAAGAAGCCAAAAAAUCAAGCAAGCAUCCGACAGGACAGACAGUGGAAUCUCUCAGAACACAAUAUGCUGGUGAUAAAAUGAAUGCAGCCAUCAAAAUCAACUGCACUGGUAUGGGGGUAGAAUCAGUUUUUUAAGAUUUGGAGUGGGAAGAUAGAUUAAAUAGUUAGGUGUGCCAUACCUUUAAGAGGAGUCAUGAAUGCCAAAGAGUAAUAGAAUAAGAAAUCUAUACAUUCACAAGCAAAUUCCAAACUUUGCUGAUUCAGUAGAGACUCCGAGUUCAGAUGAAAUUCUGAUGCUCAGAAUAGCAGUAGUUUAUACUCUUGUGGUUUUUUUCUUUCCUGAAAUUUCUAUUUAAUUUAACAGAAGCAAUGUCAUCAGCAACAAUGUCAUCGGCACAUUUGAGGCCAUGCUAGUGCAUAGUAAAAAAAAAGGAAGAAAAACCAAAACCAACCCACUGCUUCUGCAAAAGCGGAAUUUCCAAACAAAGCACUUGCUUACUCCAAACUGACAACCAUCAUGCAUCCUAGGUAUAAAAUUUCCACUGGCCUUUUUAUUCUUUUAGUCAUCUCAUAAUUUAUAAUAAAUAGGAUAAUUAUAACUGAUAAAUAUGUCUCUUUAGUAAACAAAGGAAUGAAGGAUUGGUAUUUAUACAGGAUGCAUAACUGUAAAAAAUAUAGAUAAAUACCAUCAUUAAACUCUGCCAAUGAAAAGAUUACUGGCUUCAAGAACAGUGGUUAGACACAGAAUUACAGUAAAAAUCAUACUGUACUUAGUACCUCAGCAUAUUAUUAUCAAACUAAAAUCACAAAAAUUAAAACAAAAUAGCAUUUUAAAAAGAUUUUUGACCUCUAGUUCCAAAACUACUGUUGAUACAUAAAAUAAAAACAUUUCUUAAUGAUUACCCAUUUGAGAGACUUUACAUAAAAUUAUGAUAUUUUCUAGAAAAAUUUAGAUGAGAAAAUUUCAUUCCCCUAACAAAUUCAGUGUAUAAAACUGCAAAAGAAAAUCAAGCAAUGAGAAAAAUGUGGAAAAAUACUGCAGAAGGUGGUUCAUAUCUUUUGGGCUAGGAUAAUUCUUGACAAAAUUCUUAUAUAAGCUCACCAAAGAAGGGAUGAAUGUGUAUAAUGCAUUUUUGCACUCAGACACACAUGCACACAUAUGCACACUCACACCCUCACCCACACGCUUUUCUCUUUGUUUUUACAAUCAAAUAUAUAUAAGCAUAAGUUCAGCUUUCUACAUAUGUUAGUGUACAAUAAUUGUUUCACCUCAUAUAAUUACAUUUGAGUAUUCUUGAUUAAGAAAAAUUCAGCAGUUUUUGAAAAGAAGGCUGCAUUUACAGUGCAUAGCUGUAACAAAAAAGAACAUCGUCAUACAGUAUGUACAUAAAUAAAAAUACUCCAUUUAACAUUUGUAAAUACUCAACUACUUUAGAGAAUGUAGCAAAUAAACUAUCUGUGCACACACCCAGAUAGUUAUAUCCAACUCUCAUUAAUAAUGUAACACCACGUCCGCUCAUUAGAAUAAAUCGCUGAACAAGCUGCACAUUUGACCAUUAACAAGGCUUUGAAAAUUUUGCUGUGGAAGAUCAAUGUUGUAGACAUUUACAUGGGUGUCAGAAUUAAAAGAUGAAACUUCAAAAUGUUAGGGAAGCUUGAGCCUUUUAAUUUUCUUUUCUAAAAAAAA
Molecule: long non-coding RNA, 5762 nt
Organism: Motacilla alba alba
Lineage: Eukaryota; Metazoa; Chordata; Aves; Passeriformes; Motacillidae
Exons: 3
Source: RefSeq, a predicted model, not a curated record